GACGAACGCUGGCGGCGUGCCUAACACAUGCAAGUCGCACGGGGUAGCAAUACCCAGUGGCGAACGGGUGCGUAACACGUGAGGAACAUACCUAUCGGCGGGGAUAGCCGGCCCAACGGCCGGGUAAUACCGCGUACGCUCUCCGGGGGCAGCUCUCCUGGGGAGGAAAGCAGCAAUGCACCGAUAGAGUGCCUCGCGGCCUAUCAGCUAGUUGGUGGGGUAAUGGCUCACCAAGGCGACGACGGGUAGCUGGUCUGAGAGGAUGAUCAGCCACAUUGGGACUGAGACACGGCCCAGACUCCUACGGAGGCAGCAGUGGGAAUCUUGCGCAAUGGGCGAAAGCCUGACGCAGCGACGCCGCGUGUGGGAUGAAGGCCUC
RNAcentral lists this ribosomal RNA (379 nucleotides) under uncultured bacterium. Its description in RNAcentral is "bacterial SSU rRNA". It matches the Rfam family "Bacterial small subunit ribosomal RNA", at positions 28 to 418 of the family's 1533-position model. The record is from RNAcentral.